CCUUGCCAGCCCGCUCAGAAACUCAAAUGAAUUGACGGGGGCCCGCACAAGCGGCGGAGCAUGUGGAUUAAUUCGAUGCAACGCGAAGAACCUUACCUGGGCUUGACAUACACCGGAAAACCGUAGAGAUACGGUCCCCCUUGUGGUCGGUGUACAGGUGGUGCAUGGCUGUCGUCAGCUCGUGUCGUGAGAUGUUGGGUUAAGUCCCGCAACGAGCGCAACCCUUUGUCUUAUGUUGCCAGCACGUGAUGGUGGGGACUCGUAAGAGACUGCCGGGGUCAACUCGGAGGAAGGUGGGGACGACGUCAAGUCAUCAUGGCCCUUAUGUCCUGGGCUACACACGUGCUACAAUGGCCGGUACAGAGCGCAGCGAGGCCGCGAGGCGGAGCGAAUCGCUUAAAGCCGGUCCCAGUACGGAUUGGAGUCUGCAACCCGACUCCAUGAAGUUGGAAUCGCUAGUAAUCGCGCAUCAGCAUGGCGCGGUGAAUACGUUCCCGGGCCUU
This 503-nucleotide ribosomal RNA is filed under the name uncultured Rhodococcus sp. Its description in RNAcentral is "bacterial SSU rRNA". It matches the Rfam family "Bacterial small subunit ribosomal RNA", at positions 903 to 1382 of the family's 1533-position model. The record is from RNAcentral. Lineage: Bacteria; Bacillati; Actinomycetota; Actinomycetes; Mycobacteriales; Nocardiaceae.